Molecule: long non-coding RNA, 227 nt
Filed under: Elaeis guineensis (African oil palm)
Lineage: Eukaryota; Viridiplantae; Streptophyta; Magnoliopsida; Arecales; Arecaceae
Description: long non-coding RNA (EGUI_LNC024359)
Source: RNAcentral
CCUCUUUGUGGUUUCUCCCUUUAGCCAUCAUUUUUCUAACAUAAAUCUAGCUUGCAAGGAAUAAAAAUUCUUCAUUUAUUUCUUUCAUUUUUCGUUACACACCUUCUUUUCAAUUUCUGCAUUGUCGUUAUCAUCGUGCUUCAUCCAGCACUUGGGAAGUUUCCAGCUUAUCUAUUCGCGGAUGGCUCAUGCAUAUGUAGGCCUAGGACAACAUCGUUUCAUUGCGA